Molecule: unclassified non-coding RNA, 20 nt
Filed under: Mus musculus (house mouse)
Lineage: Eukaryota; Metazoa; Chordata; Mammalia; Rodentia; Muridae
Description: oocyte_clustered_small_RNA13830
Source: RNAcentral
UUACUGUAGGAGGGCUGGGA